Molecule: ribosomal RNA, 254 nt
Filed under: uncultured bacterium
Lineage: Bacteria
Description: partial 16S ribosomal RNA
Rfam family: Bacterial small subunit ribosomal RNA
Source: RNAcentral
UACGUAGGGACCGAGCGUUGUCCGGAUUCAUUGGGCGUAAAGAGCUCGUAGGCGGUCUGUUGCGUCGGCUGUGAAAACCCGGGGCUCAACCCCGGGCCUGCAGCCGAUACGGGCAGACUAGAGUUCGGCAGGGGAGACUGGAAUUCCUGGUGUAGCGGUGAAAUGCGCAGAUAUCGGGAGGAACACCAAUGGCGAAGGCAGCUCGCUGGGACGGUACUGACGCUGAGACGCGAAAGCGUGGGGAGCAAACAGGG